This 468-nucleotide ribosomal RNA is filed under the name uncultured bacterium. RNAcentral's name for it is "partial 16S ribosomal RNA". It matches the Rfam family "Bacterial small subunit ribosomal RNA", at positions 28 to 507 of the family's 1533-position model. The record is from RNAcentral.
GACGAACGCUGGCGGCGUGCUUAACACAUGCAAGUCGAACGGAAAGGCCCUGCUUUUGUGGGGUGCUCGAGUGGCGAACGGGUGAGUAACACGUGAGUAACCUGCCCUUGACUUUGGGAUAACUUCAGGAAACUGGGGCUAAUACCGGAUAGGAGCUCCUGCUGCAUGGUGGGGGUUGGAAAGUUUCGGCGGUUGGGGAUGGACUCGCGGCUUAUCAGCUUGUUGGUGGGGUAGUGGCUUACCAAGGCUUUGACGGGUAGCCGGCCUGAGAGGGUGACCGGCCACAUUGGGACUGAGAUACGGCCCAGACUCCUACGGGAGGCAGCAGUGGGGAAUAUUGCACAAUGGGCGGAAGCAUGAUGCAGCAACUCCGCGUGCGGGAUGACGGCCUUCGGGUUGUAAACCGCUUUCGCCUGUGACGAAGCGUGAGUGACGGUAAUGGGUAAAGAAGCACCGGCUAACUACGUG